GAGUUCUUCCGUUGGUCAGGCUAACAAGUCUGUACUAGCGUGUAGAAUUCCUACCUUCUGGGGAACCAUCAUGUUAUUUAUUUAGCGUGGUGGGAAACCAGGACCUUUACCUUGAAAAAUUAGAGUGUUCAAAGCAGGCUUACGUCUGAAUACAUUAGCAUGGAAUAAUAAAAUAGGACGGUGGUCCUGUUUUGUUGGUUUCUGAAUCACCGUAAUGAUUAA
RNAcentral lists this ribosomal RNA (222 nucleotides) under uncultured Glomeromycotina. RNAcentral's name for it is "partial 18S ribosomal RNA". The stretch from base 41 to 222 matches the Rfam family "Eukaryotic small subunit ribosomal RNA", at positions 686 to 872 of the family's 1831-position model. The record is from RNAcentral. Lineage: Eukaryota; Fungi; Glomeromycota.